Molecule: ribosomal RNA, 468 nt
Filed under: uncultured bacterium
Lineage: Bacteria
Description: partial 16S ribosomal RNA
Rfam family: Bacterial small subunit ribosomal RNA
Source: RNAcentral
GACGAACGCUGGCGGCGUGCUUAACACAUGCAAGUCGAACGGAAAGGCCCUGCUUUUGUGGGGUGCUCGAGUGGCGAACGGGUGAGUAACACGUGAGUAACCUGCCCUUGACUUUGGGAUAACUUCAGGAAACUGGGGCUAAUACCGGAUCGGAGCUCCUGCUGCAUGGUGGGGGUUGGAAAGUUUCGGCGGUUGGGGAUGGACUCGCGGCUUAUCAGCUUGUUGGUGGGGUAGUGGCUUACCAAGGCUUUGACGGGUAGCCGGCCUGAGAGGGUGACCGGCCACAUUGGGACUGAGAUACGGCCCAGACUCCUACGGGAGGCAGCAGUGGGGAAUAGUGCACAAUGGGCGGAAGCCUGAUGCAGCAACGCCGCGUGCGGGAUGACGGCCUUCGGGUUGUAAACCGCUUUCGCCUGUGACGAAGCGUGAGUGACGGUAAUGGGUAAAGAAGCACCGGCUAAGUACGUG